AGAGUUUGAUCAUGGCUCAGAACGAACGCUGGCGGCAGGCUUAACACAUGCAAGUCGAACGCCCCGCAAGGGGAGUGGCAGACGGGUGAGUAACACGUGGGAACGUGCCCUUCGCUUCGGGAUAGCCUCGGGAAACUGGGAGUAAUACCGAAUACGCCGUAUUGGGAAAGAUAUAUCGGCGAAGGAUCGGCCCGCGUUGGAUUAGCUAGUUGGCGGUGUAAUGGACCACCAAGGCUACGAUCCAUAGCUGGUCUGAGAGGACGACCAGCCACACUGGGACUGAGACACGGCCCAGACUCCUACGGGAGGCAGCAGUGGGGAAUCUUGGACAAUGGGCGCAAGCCUGAUCCAGCCAUGCCGCGUGAGUGAAGAAGGCCUUAGGGUUGUAAAACUCUUUCGCCGGUGAAGAUAAUGACGGUAACCGGAGAAGAAGCCCCGGCUAACUUCGUG
Molecule: ribosomal RNA, 450 nt
Filed under: uncultured bacterium
Lineage: Bacteria
Description: bacterial SSU rRNA
Rfam family: Bacterial small subunit ribosomal RNA
Source: RNAcentral